Molecule: ribosomal RNA, 253 nt
Filed under: uncultured bacterium
Lineage: Bacteria
Description: partial 16S ribosomal RNA
Rfam family: Bacterial small subunit ribosomal RNA
Source: RNAcentral
GACAGAGGUGCCAAGCAUUAGGCGGAAUCACUGGGCUUAAAGCGUGUGUAGGCGGAAUGGUAAGUACCUUGUGAAAUCCCACGGCUCAACCGUGGAACUGCUUGGUAUACUGCUUUUCUUGAGCCACUUAGGGGCAACCGGAACAAACGGUGGAGCGGUGAAAUGCGUAGAUAUCGUUUGGAACGCCAAUGGUGAAAACAGGUUGCUGGGAGUGUGCUGACGCUGAGACACGAAAGCCAGGGGAGCAAACGGG